This 253-nucleotide ribosomal RNA is filed under the name uncultured bacterium. Its description in RNAcentral is "partial 16S ribosomal RNA". It matches the Rfam family "Bacterial small subunit ribosomal RNA", at positions 524 to 776 of the family's 1533-position model. The record is from RNAcentral.
UACAGGGGGGGCAAGCGUUGUUCGGAAUUACUGGGCGUAAAGGGCUCGUAGGCGGCCAACUAAGUCAGACGUGAAAUCCCCAGGCUCAACCUGGGAACUGCGUCUGAUACUGGAUGGCUUGAAUCCGGGAGAGGGAUGCAGAAUUCCAGGUGUAGCGGUGAAAUGCGUAGAUAUCUGAAGGAACACCAGUGGCGAAGGCGGCUUUCUGGCCUAUUCUUGACGCUGAGGCGCGAAAGCUAGGGGAGCGAACGGG